CCUACGGGGGGCUGCAGUAACGAAUCUUCCGCAAUGCACGAAAGUGUGACGGAGCGACGCCGCGUGUAGGAUGAAGUUCUUCGGAAUGUAAACUACUGUCAGGGGUUAGAAAGUUCUGAUCAACCCCAGAGGAAGUAGCGACUAACUCUGUGCCAGCAGUCGCGGUAAUACAGAGGCUACAAGCGUUAGGCGGAAUCACUGGGCUUAAAGCGUGUGUAGGCGGGCUUCUAAGUGCCUUGUGAAAUCCCACGGCUUAACCGUGGAACUGCUGGGCAUACUGGGAGUCUUGAGCCACCUAGGGGCAACCGGAACAAAUGGUGGAGCGGUGAAAUGCGUAGAUAUCAUUUGGAACGCCAAUGGUGAAAACAGGUUGCUGGGGGUGUGCUGACGCUGAGACACGAAAGCCAGGGGAGCAAACGGGAUUAGAUACCCCAGUAGUC
This 440-nucleotide ribosomal RNA is filed under the name uncultured bacterium. RNAcentral's name for it is "bacterial SSU rRNA". It matches the Rfam family "Bacterial small subunit ribosomal RNA", at positions 338 to 795 of the family's 1533-position model. The record is from RNAcentral.